UCUCCUGGAAAAGGGUGGUAAUGCCGGAUGCUCCAGUUGAUCGCAUGGUCUUCUGGGAAAGCUUUCGCGGUAUGGGAUGGGGUCGCGUCCUAUCAGCUUGACGGCGGGGUAACGGCCCACCGUGGCUUCGACGGGUAGCCGGCCUGAGAGGGCGACCGGCCACAUUGGGACUGAGAUACGGCCCAGACUCCUACGGGAGGCAGCAGUGGGGAAUAUUGCACAAUGGGCGCAAGCCUGAUGCAGCGACGCCGCGUGAGGGAUGGAGGCCUUCGGGUUGUAAACCUCUUUUAUCGGGGAGCAAGCGAGAGUGAGUUUACCCGUUGAAUAAGCACCGGCUAACUACGUGCCAGCAGCCGCGGUAAUACGUAGGGUGCAAGCGUUAUCCGGAAUUAUUGGGCGUAAAGGGCUCGUAGGCGGUUCGUCGCGUCCGGUGUGAAAGUCCAUCGCUUAACGGUGGAUCCGCGCCGGGUACGGGCGGGCUUGAGUGCGGUAGGGGAGACUGGAAUUCCCGGUGUAACGGUGGAAUGUGUAGAUAUCGG
Molecule: ribosomal RNA, 539 nt
Filed under: Bifidobacterium longum subsp. infantis
Lineage: Bacteria; Bacillati; Actinomycetota; Actinomycetes; Bifidobacteriales; Bifidobacteriaceae
Also listed under: 1 other name
Description: bacterial SSU rRNA
Rfam family: Bacterial small subunit ribosomal RNA
Source: RNAcentral